This 487-nucleotide ribosomal RNA is filed under the name uncultured bacterium. RNAcentral's name for it is "bacterial SSU rRNA". It matches the Rfam family "Bacterial small subunit ribosomal RNA", at positions 30 to 523 of the family's 1533-position model. The record is from RNAcentral.
AUUGAACGCUGGCGGCAUGCCUUACACAUGCAAGUCGAACGGUAACAGGUUAAGCUGACGAGUGGCGAACGGGUGAGUAAUGUAUCGGAACGUGCCCAGUCGUGGGGGAUAACGUAGCGAAAGCUACGCUAAUACCGCAUACGAUCUAUGGAUGAAAGCGGGGGAUCGCAAGACCUCGCGCGAUUGGAGCGGCCGAUAUCAGAUUAGGUAGUUGGUGGGGUAAAGGCCUACCAAGCCGACGAUCUGUAGCUGGUCUGAGAGGACGACCAGCCACACUGGGACUGAGACACGGCCCAGACUCCUACGGGAGGCAGCAGUGGGGAAUUUUGGACAAUGGGCGCAAGCCUGAUCCAGCAAUGCCGCGUGCAGGAAGAAGGCCUUCUGGGUUGUAAACUGCUUUUGCCGGGGGAUAAAAGAUCCAUGCGUGGAGAAUUGAAGGUACCCGGUGAAUAAGCCACGGCUAACUACGUGCCAGCAGCCGCGGUAA